GACUACAUGAAGCCGGAAUCGCUAGUAAUCGCGAAUCAGAAUGUCGCGGUGAAUACGUUCCCGGGCCUUGUACACACCGCCCGUCACACCAUGGGAGUCGGUAACACCCGAAGUCGGUAGUCUAACCGAAAGGAGGACGCCGCCGAAGGUGGGAUUGAUGACUGGGGUGAAGUCGUAACAAGGUACC
RNAcentral lists this ribosomal RNA (187 nucleotides) under uncultured bacterium. RNAcentral's name for it is "partial 16S ribosomal RNA". It matches the Rfam family "Bacterial small subunit ribosomal RNA", at positions 1314 to 1500 of the family's 1533-position model. The record is from RNAcentral.